CCUACGGGUGGCAGCAGUGAGGAAUAUUGGUCAAUGGGCGCGAGCCUGAACCAGCCAAGUAGCGUGAAGGAUGACUGCCCUACGGGUUGUAAACUUCUUUUAUAAAGGAAUAAAGUGAGGCACGUGUGCCUUUUUGUAUGUACUUUAUGAAUAAGGAUCGGCUAACUCCGUGCCAGCAGCCGCGGUAAUACGGAGGAUCCGAGCGUUAUCCGGAUUUAUUGGGGUUAAAGGGAGCGUAGAUGGGUUGUUAAGUUAGUUGUGAAAGUUUGCGGCUCAACUGUGAAACUGCAAUUGAUACGGGCGGUCUUGAGUGCAGUUGAGGUAGGCGGAAUUCGUGGUGUAGCGGUGAAAUGCUUAGAUAUCACGAAGAACUCCGAUUGCGAAGGCAGCUUACUAAACUGCCACUGACAUUGAUGCUCGAAAGUGUGGGUAUCAAACAGGAUUAGAUACCCCAGUAGUC
Molecule: ribosomal RNA, 460 nt
Filed under: uncultured bacterium
Lineage: Bacteria
Description: partial 16S ribosomal RNA
Rfam family: Bacterial small subunit ribosomal RNA
Source: RNAcentral